This 575-nucleotide unclassified non-coding RNA is filed under the name Chaetomium cochliodes. RNAcentral describes it as "sequence contains 18S rRNA gene, ITS1, 5.8S rRNA gene, ITS2, 28S rRNA gene". The stretch from base 219 to 372 matches the Rfam family "5.8S ribosomal RNA". Lineage: Eukaryota; Fungi; Ascomycota; Sordariomycetes; Sordariales; Chaetomiaceae. The record is from RNAcentral.
UCGUAACAAGGUCUCCGUUGGUGAACCAGCGGAGGGAUCAUUACAGAGUUGCAAAACUCCCUAAACCAUUGUGAACGUUACCUAAACCGUUGCUUCGGCGGGCGGCCCCGGGGUUUACCCCCCGGGCGCCCCUGGGCCCCACCGCGGGCGCCCGCCGGAGGUCACCAAACUCUUGAUAAUUUAUGGCCUCUCUGAGUCUUCUGUACUGAAUAAGUCAAAACUUUCAACAACGGAUCUCUUGGUUCUGGCAUCGAUGAAGAACGCAGCGAAAUGCGAUAAGUAAUGUGAAUUGCAGAAUUCAGUGAAUCAUCGAAUCUUUGAACGCACAUUGCGCCCGCCAGUAUUCUGGCGGGCAUGCCUGUUCGAGCGUCAUUUCAACCAUCAAGCCCCGGGCUUGUGUUGGGGACCUGCGGCUGCCGCAGGCCCUGAAAAGCAGUGGCGGGCUCGCUGUCACACCGAGCGUAGUAGCAUACAUCUCGCUCUGGGCGUGCUGCGGGUUCCGGCCGUUAAACCACCUUUUAACCCAAGGUUGACCUCGGAUCAGGUAGGAAGACCCGCUGAACUUAAGCAUAUCA